Long non-coding RNA from Hibiscus syriacus, 172 nucleotides. RefSeq lists it as uncharacterized. The record is from RefSeq and is a predicted model, not a curated record. Lineage: Eukaryota; Viridiplantae; Streptophyta; Magnoliopsida; Malvales; Malvaceae. The transcript has 3 exons.
GUUAGUCCAAGGAUCGAUCAUUGAUGUAAUGGUAAUUAAGAUUUAUCGUGAAGAUAAGAAAGAAUCGUGGCCUUUACAAUGCAUUUCGCUAAGCUUGAUGACUCUCCCAUGUUUCGCCAGCAGAUACAAUGCAUGGAGGAAAGUGCCGAGUUGUUACGGGAGAGAGCUUAAG